CCCAUCUACACUAAAUACGUGUUGAAUAAAUACUCAAAGAAUAUUUGUUUGAAGGGAUGCAACAUUAUGGGUCUGCUGAUAUGCAUAUACCAUAGGCGAACCCAGCAAGGAUGAACAAUAAAGGCAACUCCUGCCCAUCUCUCCACUCCCUGAAACCCACAACUAUCCCCUCAGGCCCCGCCAUAACUGCUUUUUCCCACCUGGCAAACAGCCUCACUGAAUUCUGGGUGGCAGGCAUUAACCAGACUUCAACACAAAUGCGCCUGUCGAAAAUGGCACCAAGUUAGGUGAAGAACAAAGACACUCUGGCUUCAAAGAGGAAGCUCCAGUUUUUGCACAGAAGGAGUUUCACACAACUUCGGUUAACAACAACAAUCACCUCAGGGGAAGAAAAGGCCCAGACUACAAAGAAAUGCCAAACAAGCAGUCCUCAGUCCUUCCUUUCUUUCUCUGGCGUGUUUUGCACAAAACCUGAUCAGGAGAGGAGGGCUUUGAUAAUCACUUGGACCAUGACUGCUGCUAGUAGCACUUCUUCUGCUUCAUAUAUCUCAGCAAUUUGCGGGCAUCUGAGUGUUCCAUGCUUACCCAGGUUUAGAGUGUGAACACACACACACACACACACACACACACACACACACACACACACCAUGAAAUGGGAUUGGCUGGCUAGAAAAAGAUUCUGGCGACUUCCCAAAGAUUACAGGCCAAGUAAUGUUUUUCCUUUUUUCUUUCUUUUUUUCUACAAUUCCCUCUCUAUUUUUCUUACUCUUCCAGUCAACUGCUGAUGUGUGGCUGUACAGCAAUGACAAAUACAUACUCACCCUAAUUGCCACGUUUUUGAGGAAAAGAAGUUGAAAAUGGUGGGAAAGUGGCAGCUGACUGCACAGGGAGACGGAAUGAAAUUUCGAAAUAAUGAACAAUUUAAAAAUGUUACUUUUCUCCUCUCUCUAAACUCAAAGCAGAGAAUUUUUAAAAAACUGUUUCCAUCUUGAUAAAACCCUAAUUAAAAAUAAAAGGGCUAAUUAAAAAUAAAAAUAAAAGGACUCUUUGUGGAAUGAGGCAGGCAUUAAAUAAGUAAAUCAGACAAAUUCAAUAUGCUUUCAUUUCUAUACCUAUUCUAUUAAGUCACCUCUUCCAGGUUGUAACAUGACAGCUCUCUUUUCUUCCUCAAUCUCUCACUUUCUUUCUUUUCCCUUCUCUAUCUCAAAUUGUCGAGCUGUUACUGUCUCUUCUAUCCCCUCUUGGUCUCUGUUAUCACAGAAGUGGACAGGAGCCAGGUCUAGCUGUGGUUUUUUGCCAUGUCAGUAGCCACACCAGUUGUUGAUAAAAAUCUGGCACCGUGAGAUGAGGCCAUCUGUGGUGAAGUUUAAACCUAUUUACCUCCCUGGCAAGCUGGUUGAAGCCUCCCUUUCUCUGUAUUCAGUGAGGCUGAAGAUGACAAAUGCAGUGGGAUUAAAGCCAUGGGAUGAAGUUUGGGGCAAAACAAAACCCUUUCCCAAAGACAGAGCUCAUGAUAGCUAUUAGCUGUGAGGAUAAGCAAAUCCCCAGUGUCUGGAGCAUGCAGCCAAGAGACAUUCCAGCUCUGUGUCCCACUCUGUGUACUUGAAGGAGACAGACAACUGGCUGAGUUACAGUCUGGACUUUGGGUACUGGGAGAUGCAAACUGGACUCUGCCACUUCUUUGUUAAAGGACCUUGGAAUAAUCCUGGGCUGUAUUUUGUGAUUUGCAGGGUAAAACCCCUGUUUUAGAGAACUGUUCUCAAAUAUAAUGAGCUACAGAACAAAACUACCACACUUGUGACCUCCAAAUAGGACUCCACAGCUUGACCAAUUACCUGAACCAUAACACUACGGUCCAAAAGCUUUGGUUGCUUCCAAAAAUCCAAUCAACCCUUACAGCUACCAAUGAGGCUAUUCAGACAUGCAUGAAGUAAGCUCUGAAGUCAAUGCCAAAUGCUUUGGACAAUGGCAGCGUCCCUGGGCAGAGGCCAAUUUACCAUGAAGCUAAUAAAGCUGAAGCUUCUAGGCCUCUUUUGAGACCCCCAAGAAGGAUGCUAGCAAUGUGUCCCCAUGUUUGUAUUUUUGUUGCAAAAUUUAUAAAAGUAGGGUGUUUUAAGCCCAAUGAGUUGACUGCUUUCUCUAUUUCUACUUUCCCUCUGUUCGAUUUCCCUUUCCGUUACACGGAGUUGGAGUGAUCCAAGGCAGUUGAGUUAGAGAUACAUUUAGUGUGGGUUUAGCGGGA
This 2242-nucleotide long non-coding RNA is filed under the name Homo sapiens (human). RNAcentral's name for it is "HSALNT0147273". Lineage: Eukaryota; Metazoa; Chordata; Mammalia; Primates; Hominidae. The record is from RNAcentral.